RNAcentral lists this transfer RNA (73 nucleotides) under Calotes versicolor. RNAcentral's name for it is "tRNA-Asn". The record is from RNAcentral. Lineage: Eukaryota; Metazoa; Chordata; Lepidosauria; Squamata; Agamidae.
UGGAUUGAUGCUCUCUGGAUUGGGCGUUCAGCUGUUAACUGUUAAGUUGUGGGAUCGAGGCCCACCAACCCUG